ACUCAUAAGAAUAUGUACAAAAAUAUCAGGAAAAAACCUUACAAACAUUAACAGUUUUUUCAUGUACCAUUUUCCUGGUUAAACAUGUCAGUUUUGACAAAAUACAUAGCCUUCAUGCAUGUUGUCUCCCUUAUCGGUUAAUUUAAUUCGAUUGCUUCUGUCUCAAAGAAAAUGUCUUGCCAGAAAUAAGGUUAUAAGUAGCAUGUGCUCUUUGAAGAAGGAUGGAUAAAGAUAAAACAAGCUUUAUAUAUCUUAUAUAAAUAUUCCAUUGAAAUAUUUCCAUAUA
Molecule: long non-coding RNA, 286 nt
Filed under: Mytilus galloprovincialis (Mediterranean mussel)
Lineage: Eukaryota; Metazoa; Mollusca; Bivalvia; Mytilida; Mytilidae
Source: RNAcentral